UACGAAGGGGGCUAGCGUUGCUCGGAAUCACUGGGCGUAAAGGGUGCGUAGGCGGGUCUUUAAGUCAGGGGUGAAAUCCUGGAGCUCAACUCCAGAACUGCCUUUGAUACUGAAGAUCUUGAGUUCGGGAGAGGUGAGUGGAACUGCGAGUGUAGAGGUGAAAUUCGUAGAUAUUCGGAAGAACACCAGUGGCGAAGGCGGCUCUCUGGACCGUAACUGACGCUGAGGCGCGAAAGCGUGGGGAGCAAACAGG
Molecule: ribosomal RNA, 253 nt
Filed under: uncultured bacterium
Lineage: Bacteria
Description: partial 16S ribosomal RNA
Rfam family: Bacterial small subunit ribosomal RNA
Source: RNAcentral